GGGCCCGCACAAGCGGUGGAUUAUGUGGUUUAAUUCGAAGCAACGCGCAGAACCUUACCUAGGCUUGAAAUCCUUCGAAUCCCGAGUAAUGUUGGGAGUGCCCGCAAGGGAAUGAAGUGACAGGUGCUGCAUGGCUGUCGUCAGCUCGUGUUGUGAAAUGUUGGGUUAAGUCCCGCAACGAGCGCAACCCUUGUCCUUAGUUGCCAGCCUUAAGUUGGGCACUCUAAGGAGACUGCCGGUGACAAACCGGAGGAAGGUGGGGACGACGUCAAGUCAUCAUGGCCCUUACGUGUAGGGCUACACACGUGCUACAAUGGCAUUUACAGAGGGAAGCGAGACAGUGAUGUGGAGCGGACCCCUUAAAGAAUGUCGUAGUCCGGAUUGGAGUCUGCAACUCGACUCCAUGAAGUCGGAAUCGCUAGUAAUCG
RNAcentral lists this ribosomal RNA (428 nucleotides) under uncultured bacterium. RNAcentral describes it as "bacterial SSU rRNA". It matches the Rfam family "Bacterial small subunit ribosomal RNA", at positions 917 to 1344 of the family's 1533-position model. The record is from RNAcentral.